UGGGGAAUUUUGGACAAUGGGCGAAAGCCUGAUCCAGCAAUGCCGCGUGAGUGAAGAAGGCCUUCGGGUUGUAAAGCUCUUUUGUCAGGGAAGAAACGGUGAGAGCUAAUAUCUUUUGCUAAUGACGGUACCUGAAGAAUAAGCACCGGCUAACUACGUGCCAGCAGCCGCGGUAAUACGUAGGGUGCAAGCGUUAAUCGGAAUUACUGGGCGUAAAGCGUGCGCAGGCGGUUUUGUAAGUCUGAUGUGAAAUCCCCGGGCUCAACCUGGGAAUUGCGAUGGAGACUGCAAGGCUAGAAUCUGGCAGAGGGGGGUAGAAUUCCACGUGUAGCAGUGAAAUGCGUAGAGAUGUGGAGGAACACCGAUGGCGAAGGCAGCCCCCUGGGUCAAGAUUGACGCUCAUGCACGAAAGCGUGGGGAGCAAACAGGAUUAGAUACCCCGGUAGUCCCUGAGCGGGCUGGCAAGGCGCAU
This 472-nucleotide ribosomal RNA is filed under the name uncultured bacterium. Its description in RNAcentral is "bacterial SSU rRNA". It matches the Rfam family "Bacterial small subunit ribosomal RNA", at positions 355 to 825 of the family's 1533-position model. The record is from RNAcentral.